UACGUAGGGUGCGAGCGUUAAUCGGAAUUACUGGGCGUAAAGCGUGCGCAGGCGGUUUUGUAAGCCAGAUGUGAAAUCCCCGGGCUUAACCUGGGAAUGGCAUUUGGGACUGCAAGGCUCGAGUGCGGCAGAGGAGACUGGAAUUCCUGGUGUAGCAGUGAAAUGCGUAGAUAUCAGGAGGAACACCGAUGGCGAAGGCGGGUCUCUGGGCCGAUACUGACGCUGAGGAGCGAAAGCGUGGGGAGCGAACAGG
This 253-nucleotide ribosomal RNA is filed under the name uncultured bacterium. RNAcentral describes it as "partial 16S ribosomal RNA". It matches the Rfam family "Bacterial small subunit ribosomal RNA", at positions 524 to 776 of the family's 1533-position model. The record is from RNAcentral.